CAGCCGCCGCGGUAAUGCGAAGGGUGCAAGCGUUAAUCGGAAUUACUGGGCGUAAAGCGUACGCAGGCGGUCUGUCAAGUCAGAUGUGAAAUCCCCGGGCUUAACCUGGGAACUGCAUUUGAAACUGGCAGGCUAGAGUCUUGUAGAGGGGGGUAGAAUUCCAGGUGUAGCGGUGAAAUGCGUAGAGAUCUGGAGGAAUACCGGUGGCGAAGGCGGCCCCCUGGACAAAGACUGACGCUCAGGUGCGAAAGCGUGGGGAGCAAACAGGAUUAGAUACCCCAGUAGUCCCUGUCUCUUAUAC
Molecule: ribosomal RNA, 301 nt
Filed under: uncultured bacterium
Lineage: Bacteria
Description: partial 16S ribosomal RNA
Rfam family: Bacterial small subunit ribosomal RNA
Source: RNAcentral